AUUGAACGCUGGCGGCAGGCCUAACACAUGCAAGUCGAGCGCGCGGCGGACGGGUGUGUAUUGUCUGGGAGACUGCCUGAUGGAGGGGGAUAACUCCUGUAAACGGUAGCUAAUACCGCAUACCAUCAGAUGUGCCCAGGUGGGAUUAGCUAGUAGGUGGGGUAACGGCUCACCUAGGCGACGAUCCCUAGCUGGUCUGAGAGGAUGACCAGCCACACUGGAACUGAGACACGGCCCAGACUCCUACGGGAGGCAGCAGUGGGGAAUAUUGCACAAUGGGCGCAAGCCUGAUGCAGCCAUGCCGCGUGUGUGAAGAAGGCCUUCGGGUUGUAAAGCACUUUCAGCGGGGAGGCGUUACCCGCAGAAGAAGCACCGGCUAACUCCGUGCCAGCAGCCGCGGUAAUAC
RNAcentral lists this ribosomal RNA (406 nucleotides) under uncultured bacterium. RNAcentral's name for it is "partial 16S ribosomal RNA". It matches the Rfam family "Bacterial small subunit ribosomal RNA", at positions 30 to 526 of the family's 1533-position model. The record is from RNAcentral.